AAGUCGUAACAAGGUCUCCGUAGGUGAACCUGCGGAGGGAUCAUUAAUGAGAACUUGCCCUAACGGGUAGAUCUCCCACCCUUUGUUAACCAAACAUUGUCGCUUUGCUUUCGUCGUCCGGCCAGACCCCCUUCCGGGGGUUCCCGCCCGGGCCCUUUCGGGGCUGGUCAGCGCCGGACAGAGGAAACUAAAACCUUUAUCACUGUCGUCAGAGUACUAUAUAAUAGUUAAAA
RNAcentral lists this unclassified non-coding RNA (233 nucleotides) under plant metagenome. RNAcentral describes it as "partial contains small subunit ribosomal RNA and internal transcribed spacer 1". The stretch from base 1 to 46 matches the Rfam family "Eukaryotic small subunit ribosomal RNA", at positions 1786 to 1831 of the family's 1831-position model. The record is from RNAcentral.